Long non-coding RNA from Neopelma chrysocephalum (saffron-crested tyrant-manakin), 255 nucleotides. RefSeq lists it as uncharacterized. The record is from RefSeq and is a predicted model, not a curated record. The transcript has 3 exons. Lineage: Eukaryota; Metazoa; Chordata; Aves; Passeriformes; Pipridae.
CGCAGCUCAGUGUAAAAUUUAUCCUUUUCGGCAGGGUCAGCUUGGAGAGUUGGGGCAUAUAUACUAAAGAGGACAACGUGUUGGUUGUUGUGGAGUGGAAGGCAUAGGGAGAUAAUGUGGUCAGAGUGACCUGUCGGCAGAUUUUCGAGUUUAGGGACAAUGGAGUUUUUGACCAUGAAGCCGACUCCUGAGAGAUGGUUUUCGGUUCUGGGCUUACCUGACCAAAAGAGUGUGUAACUGGCACCAUAUUCUCUG